CACCGGAUAAUCCUCCCGUCGGAGACGCCGGUGUAGGGGCCGCCGCCGCGGCUGUCGAAGGUGAAGCUCUCCGGCCCGACGGCGCCGCCGGGCAUUGGUAAAACGACGGCGUCAUGAAUUUUGUUGGGCACCAAUGAGGUGAUUGAGUCGAGGGAGGAAAAUGGAGUGAGCAACCGAAGUUGGGGCUUUAAAUGUUGGAGAAUAAGCCUGAAAAAAAGAAACAAGAGGUUGAAGUAAAGCAAGUUUUGUGAAAAAGAAGAUGACUAUAAAAAGCAGGAUUUUAGAAAGAAUAGUGUGAGUUGUGCAAAGAAAAAUGUUGCAUUAAGCAAGCUAGAAGGACUGAUGUGCAGGCCAAGAGAAGAAGAGUUGGUGGAUGAUUGCAUUCCAGCAAGACAAGGCCGGCCGGCAGGGAAAUUGGAGCAGAUGAGAUUUCGGUGCACGUGGCAGUCCAAGGUAAAGCUAUUUCAAGGGGAAAAAAAUGUUGAGGAUCUAGGUGUCGCUACAUUAUUUGUGAUUUUAGGGUUAAUUACAUUAUAUUCAAUCCACUUAAGUGUUACGUGUCAAAUUAAAUUCAUAUAAAUACCAUAUCAAUUUUACUGUCAUCAGAAAUGAAAACAAUGAGAAAAUUAAAUAAAUAUAAUUUUUUUUGAUAAAAAUUGAAAUUUUCAAAAUUUGUGGGUAAAA
Long non-coding RNA from Salvia miltiorrhiza (redroot sage), 684 nucleotides. RefSeq lists it as uncharacterized. The transcript has 2 exons. The record is from RefSeq and is a predicted model, not a curated record. NCBI's taxonomy places the organism in Eukaryota, Viridiplantae, Streptophyta, Magnoliopsida, Lamiales, Lamiaceae.